Molecule: ribosomal RNA, 492 nt
Filed under: uncultured bacterium
Lineage: Bacteria
Description: partial 16S ribosomal RNA
Rfam family: Bacterial small subunit ribosomal RNA
Source: RNAcentral
AGUGAACGCUGGCGGUAGGCCUAACACAUGCAAGUCGAACGGCAGCACAGAAAGAGCUUGCUCUUACGGGUGGCGAGUGGCGGACGGGUGAGGAAUACAUCGGAAUCUACUUUUUCGUGGGGGAUAACGUAGGGAAACUUACGCUAAUACCGCAUACGACCUACGGGUGAAAGCAGGGGAUCUUCGGACCUUGCGCGAUUGAAUGAGCCGAUGUCGAAUUAGCUAGUUGGCGGGGUAAAGGCCCACCAAGGCGACGAUCCGUAGCUGGUCUGAGAGGAUGAUCAGCCACACUGGAACUGAGACGCGGUCCAGACUCCUACGGGAGGCAGCAGUGGGGAAUAUUGGACAAUGGGCGCAAGCCUGAUCCAGCCAUACCGCGUGGGUGAAGAAGGCCUUCGGGUUGUAAAGCCCUUUUGUUGGGAAAGAAAAGCAGCAGGUUAAUACCCCGCUGUUCUGACGGUACCCAAAGAAUAAGCACCGGCUAACUUCGUG